AUUGAACGCUGGCGGCAGGCCUAACACAUGCAAGUCGAACGAGUGGCGGACGGGUGAGUAAUGUCUGGGAAACUGCCCGAUGGAGGGGGAUAACUACUGGAAACGGUAGCUAAUACCGCAUACCAUCGGAUGUGCCCAGAUGGGCUUAGCUAGUAGGUGGGCGAACGGCUGACCUAGGCGACGAUCCCUCGCUGGUCUGUGAGGAUGACCAGCCACACUGGAACUGAGACACGGGCCAGACUCCUACGGGAGGCAGCAGUGUGGAAUAUUGCACAAUGGGCUCAAGUCUGAUGCAGCCAUGCCGCGGGUAUGAAGAAGGCCUUCGGGGUGUAAAGUACUUUAAGCGAGGAGGCGUUACUCGAAGAAGAAGCACCGGCUAACUCCGUGACAGCAGCCGCGGUAAUAC
RNAcentral lists this ribosomal RNA (406 nucleotides) under uncultured bacterium. Its description in RNAcentral is "partial 16S ribosomal RNA". It matches the Rfam family "Bacterial small subunit ribosomal RNA", at positions 30 to 526 of the family's 1533-position model. The record is from RNAcentral.